AGAAGAAGCACCGGCUAACUACGUGCCAGCAGCCGCGGUAAUACGUAGGGUGCGAGCGUUAAUCGGAAUUACUGGGCGUAAAGCGUGCGCAGGCGGUUCUAUAAGACAGAUGUGAAAUCCCCGGGCUUAACCUGGGAACUGCGUUUGUGACUGUAGGACUCGAGUGUGGCAGAGGGGGUGGAAUUCCACGUGUAGCAGUGAAAUGCGUAGAGAUGUGGAGGAACACCGAUGGCGAAGGCAGCCCCCUGGGUCAACACUGACGCUCAUGCACGAAAGCGUGGGGAGCAAACAGGAUUAGAUACCCUGGUAGUCCACGCCCUAAACGAUGCGAACUAGGUGUUGGGGAAGGAGACUUUCUUAGUACCGCAGCUAACGCGUGAAGUUCGCCGCCUGGGGAGUACGGUCGCAAGAUUAAAACUCAAAGGAAUUGACGGGGAC
This 438-nucleotide ribosomal RNA is filed under the name uncultured bacterium. RNAcentral's name for it is "bacterial SSU rRNA". It matches the Rfam family "Bacterial small subunit ribosomal RNA", at positions 483 to 920 of the family's 1533-position model. The record is from RNAcentral.